This 549-nucleotide ribosomal RNA is filed under the name uncultured bacterium. RNAcentral describes it as "bacterial SSU rRNA". It matches the Rfam family "Bacterial small subunit ribosomal RNA", at positions 355 to 896 of the family's 1533-position model. The record is from RNAcentral.
UGGGGAAUAUUGGACAAUGGGCGAAAGCCUGAUCCAGCAAUACCGCGUGUGUGAAGAAGGCCUUAGGGUUGUAAAGCACUUUCAAUUGGGAGGAAAACCUGCCGGUCAAUACCCGGUAGCUUGACAUUACCUUUAGAAGAAGCACCGGCUAACUCCGUGCCAGCAGCCGCGGUAAUACGGAGGGUGCGAGCGUUAAUCGGAAUUACUGGGCGUAAAGCGUGCGUAGGCGGUUCGUUAAGUCAGAUGUGAAAGCCCUGGGCUCAACCUGGGAACUGCAUUUGAAACUGGCGGACUAGAGUUUAGUAGAGGGGAGUGGAAUUUCAGGUGUAGCGGUGAAAUGCGUAGAUAUCUGAAGGAACACCAGUGGCGAAGGCGACUCCCUGGACUAGAACUGACGCUGAGGUACGAAAGCGUGGGUAGCAAACAGGAUUAGAUACCCUGGUAGUCCACGCCGUAAACGAUGUCGACUAGCCGUUGGCCCUAUUUACAGGGUUAGUGGCGCAGCUAACGCAUUAAGUCGACCGCCUGGGGAGUACGGCCGCAAGGUUA